UGCAUGAGGAUAUGGCUAGCCAAUUUGAC
RNAcentral lists this non-coding RNA (29 nucleotides) under Rattus norvegicus (Norway rat). Lineage: Eukaryota; Metazoa; Chordata; Mammalia; Rodentia; Muridae. The record is from RNAcentral.